GGCUGGUUAGCUCAGUCAGUUGAGUGUGGCGCUAACAACGCCAGGGUCAUGGGUUCAAUUCCUGAUUGGUCC
Molecule: transfer RNA, 72 nt
Filed under: Apaloderma vittatum (bar-tailed trogon)
Lineage: Eukaryota; Metazoa; Chordata; Aves; Trogoniformes; Trogonidae
Rfam family: tRNA
About the family: Transfer RNA (tRNA) molecules are approximately 80 nucleotides in length.
Source: Rfam by way of RNAcentral